Molecule: unclassified non-coding RNA, 294 nt
Filed under: uncultured Panaeolus
Lineage: Eukaryota; Fungi; Basidiomycota; Agaricomycetes; Agaricales; Bolbitiaceae
Description: partial contains 5.8S ribosomal RNA, internal transcribed spacer 2, and large subunit ribosomal RNA
Rfam family: 5.8S ribosomal RNA (bases 1-52)
Source: RNAcentral
AACGCACCUUGCGCUCGUUGGUAUUCCGACGAGCAUGCCUGUUUGAGUGUCAUUAAAUUCUCAACCUCAACACUUUUGUGAUUGAUGGCUUGGAUGUGGAGGUUUUUCUGCAGGCUGUUAAAGUCUGCUCCUCUCAAAUGAAUUAGUGGGUGCCCCGCGCAAACCUAUCUAUUGGUGUGAUAAUUAUCUACGCCGUGGAUUAUAGGAUUAAGGUGUUUGCCCUGCUUCUAACUGUCCUCUGGACAACUUGAACCAUUUGACCUCAAAUCAGGUAGGACUACCCGCUGAACUUAA